This 74-nucleotide transfer RNA is filed under the name Pseudomonadota bacterium. RNAcentral's name for it is "tRNA-Gln". It matches the Rfam family "tRNA". Rfam says of the family: Transfer RNA (tRNA) molecules are approximately 80 nucleotides in length. Their secondary structure includes four short double-helical elements and three loops (D, anti-codon, and T loops). Lineage: Bacteria; Pseudomonadati; Pseudomonadota. The record is from RNAcentral. RNAcentral also lists the same sequence under 4 other names.
UGCCCCCUAGUUUAAUGGCAGAACGACUGACUCUGGAUCAGUUGGUUGGGGUUCGAAUCCCUGGGGGGCAGCCA